AGCUCUACCAAUUAAGCUGCCAAACAAGUCUCCUCUCUCUCUCUCUCUCUCUCUCUCUCUCUGUUCAAACACUCCAAAUAUCUUACUUCUCCCUCACAAAUAGAAUCGUCUGCGGGAGAUUAAGCACAUAAUAUAUAGGAAGUUACAGAGAGAGAAGUGGUGGUGGUGCAUGUGAUAAGCGUAUGAAAUAAAAUUGCAGGUCUGGCCGGGUUAAGGAGCAUAGCAAUUAGAGUGAGUAGAGGUUUUAAGAAUAAGAGAAAGAAAGGCAGAAAGAAAGCAGUGAAGGUUAUAAAAGAGAAGUUGAUGGAGUUUUGGGACAAGAUGAUCUUCCCUGUCCGCCGUGUCUGGCUUGCUGUCUCUACUCGUGUUAAGGCUCGCAAAAAUGGUGCUGGUCUGUUGAAGCUUCACGACGAUGUACAAACUUGUGGCUAUCAAGAUGUGCAAGUGAUGUGGCAGAUGCUGAGCAGAGAAGCUGAGCUGAUAAAUCACCACCAUGCCAAACGUAAACAGCGACCCUUCUGGAGAGUUUUUGAAUGGUCUAACAACCAUAGUAAAGCCUCGUCCCUCUCUGCAAAUCAUGCUUGAAAAUGAGAUCCAUCGACCAAAGCCGGGUAGACAUCAUAAUAAUAAGAAUAAUAAUAAUGUGUUGCUGCUGUCCUAAUUGGCAUCAUAGUUUUACAGUCGAAUUGCCAAGAUUACAACAGCGGCGUGGUACAGAACUGUUGCAGGUGUCAAACACCGUACAAGAUGAAAUAUCAAUUAUGUGUCAAAUUGUUACCUCUGUUUUGAGUACUACUACUAGAGCUGACAUGGUCAUUUGUAAAUAUAAUAAUAGUUUUUCUAAAACCCAGAAAACACAGCAGAUAGUUCAAAAGAGAGCCUUCAUCGCAGAGCGCUCAUUUUUCCUCUCAGUGUACCUGUGCCAAGAGCAUGGCUCUAAAGUUUGAGUCUUUCACUUGCAUUUGCUAUGUGCUGAAUGGUUAGAUUUAGAACAUUCACUGA
Molecule: long non-coding RNA, 1002 nt
Organism: Rosa chinensis
Lineage: Eukaryota; Viridiplantae; Streptophyta; Magnoliopsida; Rosales; Rosaceae
Exons: 2
Source: RefSeq, a predicted model, not a curated record